UGACUUUGAAAUAGGUUUGAUGGCUGCA
RNAcentral lists this non-coding RNA (28 nucleotides) under Mus musculus (house mouse). The record is from RNAcentral. Lineage: Eukaryota; Metazoa; Chordata; Mammalia; Rodentia; Muridae.